GACUUACGGCUCCAGUUGCCAAGGUUCAAUGUCAGAUGGGGAGUCACACUAGGGCAGUAUACCUGUCUAUCCGAAGAGCAGUCUCUGAGGGUGAGUCCAGGGAAGAUGGAAAUCUCCUGUGGAGCAGAAGGAUAAACCACUCCUGAUCAUGACUUUCAGAUUUUUUUCUGUGAAAGAGGGGCCUUAUGAUACUUCUGACUUUUUGUUUAGUAAUCAAGAGAUGUCAUAGAAGUUA
This 235-nucleotide non-coding RNA is filed under the name Mesitornis unicolor (brown roatelo). RNAcentral's name for it is "Eukaryotic large subunit ribosomal RNA". It matches the Rfam family "Eukaryotic large subunit ribosomal RNA", at positions 2576 to 2817 of the family's 3401-position model. Lineage: Eukaryota; Metazoa; Chordata; Aves; Mesitornithiformes; Mesitornithidae. The record is from Rfam by way of RNAcentral.